Long non-coding RNA from Pecten maximus, 500 nucleotides. RefSeq lists it as uncharacterized. Lineage: Eukaryota; Metazoa; Mollusca; Bivalvia; Pectinida; Pectinidae. The record is from RefSeq and is a predicted model, not a curated record. The transcript is spliced from 3 exons.
AAUACAGUCGAUAGAGGAUAUAGCGAUUCGGCGUACAUGCGAGUUGUUUGUCGGACAUGUGGAAAUUCUUGCUAACAUGGCGGCAAUGACAAGGUUAUGGUCGAAUGUCUACAAAACAGUGGUCCCUCGCCGGACGUUCACGACAGGGAGAGUCCUGCGUGACACUCCACCCGGAAUACCUAACGAUUCGAUGAUGUUCAUAGCUGGUAAAGAGAAGCUUAACAAGGUUUCAUUUACGUUAGGUUACAUAGUCUUUGCCAUGACUGGACUGAUGUGGCCCGUUAUGGCUAUGAGGGAUCAAUGUAUACGGAUAGGCGCGUCCAUCGAGGAUCCAGCAGAGUAGAUGUCAGAGGUUUGCUUGAGUUUCACUGAUGUCCAGUGUCCGCCAUUGAACGCCGGCGGCGAGAGAGCCGAUUUCGUUAUUAAUACUCGGUUGGAUUCGUCUUAUUAGUUCUAACUGUAAACUAUUUGAGAUGUGAAUAAAUUAUUUGCAGUGGAAA